RNAcentral lists this unclassified non-coding RNA (323 nucleotides) under Hevea brasiliensis (rubber tree). The record is from RNAcentral. Lineage: Eukaryota; Viridiplantae; Streptophyta; Magnoliopsida; Malpighiales; Euphorbiaceae.
GGUUCACCUUCUAUGUCAUGCCAUCAAAAGCUUACAAUAUGGUACAACACUGGUUCGUCUUUUUAGCUUGUUUGUAGAACAUCUGUGAUGCUGCACUAAGAUCGGAGCUCUUCUCGACCAAACUGUCCAACCUUUCGCCACGUGCAAGCACGCUGUCAAUGGUCUUAUGAAGAAUAAUUUUGGUUUCGUCCAACUCCCUCUGUAUUUUCAACAAUUUAUCAGCCUCUGCAGGGUCCUGGAAUUUGGUUAAAGCUUCAGUCAGAUAGGGCCAUGGUUGAAAGUUAUCUGCUUGUGCACUUCUCCAUGUUUCACCAAAAUUUUUU